This is a long non-coding RNA of Saccostrea cuccullata (small rock oyster), 5052 nucleotides long. RefSeq lists it as uncharacterized. The transcript is spliced from 2 exons. NCBI's taxonomy places the organism in Eukaryota, Metazoa, Mollusca, Bivalvia, Ostreida, Ostreidae. The record is from RefSeq and is a predicted model, not a curated record.
UUUCGUGACAUUCUAGUGUAUAUGAAGCAGAAAGAUUUACAAAAACUAAGAAUUAACACUGCUCACUGAACAAAAAAUAUUACAAGUAUAGUUUGAAUUUCCUCGAGUAUACAUUAAAUAGAAAAUAUACUGUCAGUAUCCUUGAGCCAAGCGCCUAUCACUUAUCCAAAUGAUUCUCAGUUUGCGGAUAAGCUGAAUUAAAACUGCAACAUUGAUUUUAUAUAAUUUUGACUUAAAUUAUUUAAUCAGGGUGAAACUAAUGUAUUAUCCAAACACCACUGGUUCCGAGGAAAAUGGCAAAUUGGACAACAUUCCAGAUUAAAUAACAUUUGAAACAGUUGAGUUUACUGAAAGUACAUUGUACUUGAAGUUUACAUCAUAAUAAUGCAAGAUUUCAGUAUACAUAACAUUCAUAUUAGACAAGUUUCACUGUAGUAUUUUUUUUUUAAAUCUUAGAUUAGAUCUGAAUCAAAGACGGAACACAUGACUGAGUACACAGAAGUUUGAAAGUAGUAUUGGAGAGAAUAAUUUUACUUAGAAUUAAACAAAAGAAUGCAUUGAUACUAACUAAGUAGAAUUGAUGAUAAUUAUAUCUACAAUUCUAUUUUUAGUUUCAAUUAAUAAAAUGAGGGUAAGUGAUAACUAUAAUCACAUUUAUUUUUACUUGUGUCUAAACUAGGACAUUAAGCAUUAGACUCUAAAAAUGCAGACAUAAUGGUUUAAUAAGAUUUUCACCAAAUUGUGCAUUUAUGUCACGUACCCAUUGCAGGUCUGAAUCUCAUUUAAAUCUGACCUGAUCAUUUUACUCUAAUCAAAGUGCUCAGAUGAGCAAUGAUAUGGUCCAUGGGCUUUUUGUUCAGAGUUUACUUACAAUUUCCUGAUAUACUUUAUGCAUUUGACAUGAGUAUAUGCUUAAGAUAACCUGUGUAAUAUUUUAAAAUUAUUUAUAACUGUGGAGUUUUUUAUUUAUUAGAUAAAAAGGAGGAAAACCCAGAGGAUAAAAAAGGUGAAGCUCAAGUCAUGCUAGAAGGAAAUGGAGAUGUUUAAAGGAUAUGAAAAAAAGCAAUGAUUAGAACUGUUGAUUCUUAAAAAUAGUCUCAGAUGUAUGUGAAUUUCCUUGUUUUGUAACAAACUCUGAUUUUAUCUCAGUUGUCACUAUUUUAUACCAUAUGUCAGUAUAUGUUUAUGUUUCAUUUUGUUAGUUUGAUUUUGAUUUUUAAUGUUGUGCUUCUUAUGACAGCAAUUUUGAAAUGGAGCCUUGGCUUUUUUAGUAACUCACCUGAGUCAAAGACUCAGUUCAGCAUUUUUGAUUGAAGGGUGUCAAGCUUUUAUCUGCCAUAUGUCAUGUGUAAAUUUUCAGAUUUCAAAUUCUCCAGAACCAAUUUUAAAACUUAAUGAGACUAAAUUCAAAAUUGAAUGGCUCCCAGUGUUAGGGUGAGGCAACAAAAGGGGAUUGGGUAUUAACUUAAAAUAUAUAGGGAAAUACUUUUGAAUAAUCCUUUACAAGAAUAGCAUUUAACAAUUAGUAGUAAUAAUAAAUAUUUUAUAAAAAGGUGGCUCAGGUGAGUUUUGUGGUCCAUGGUUCUCUUGAGUAUAAGAGGUGUUUUUCUUUUGUUUUUAUAUUUUUCCUUCAUUUGUUGGAAAACAAAGUUGUAGAAUUAUUUUGCAAGUGUUGAUAUUUUUUUUUGUUUUAUGCAUAAAUAAGAGUAAUCAUUUUAUUGCCUAAGCAAAACACUCAAGUGUUUGUCAACACUGAAAACCCUGAAACUAGGAAAUAAGAACCAAACAGAUUGAUGAUCAAGGAUAUCUGUAAGAUUCCUCAUUAUGGAUGAUUCCCAGAACAACUUUGGGUUUGUAACAAGCUUUGCACAGGUUAUCAUAGAAGUUUUCACAGAAGGGGAUCUUUUUUUUUUUGGGAUUUUUUUAAAAAUGAUAAUGGAGAGUAAUUCAUGAGACAAUCACCAAUAUCUACUGGUCCUUGACAAGUCAUGGAUUAAAAAGUAUGUGUUCUCAUUAUAUUAUAGCCUCACAAAGAAGGGGAAAAACAGGUAACUCAAGUGAACAUUGUGUCUCACAAAGGCAUCUUUUCAGCUGAAUUUAAUGACAUAGAUGUAAUGUUACAAUAAAUUGUAGUUUUGUGUACCAUGUUUACUUAUGUGUGGGAGAUCAGAAAAAAAGUUUAACAAGUUAAAAUUUGUAACAUUAAUAUUAUAAUAAAGCAUACCUACAGUUGUACAUUAAUAUAUGUAUUGUAUGUAUACUUUCUGACUACAAAGAGAAUAUACUAAGAGCAUCGUUAAGUAGAACAUCCUUUGCAGCAUGUUGACAGUUUCAUUCCAGAAAGCACAUCUGAACAAAUGAUGAUUUUGUGAAGGCAGCAUCACUAGUGCUGGUUUUAACAUAUAAACUUUUACUUAAAACAUCUCCUUGUCAGGUGUUUGGCUACAUGGUCACACAAAUGUGGAACAUGUCAUUAUAAUAUUUUUAAAUACUGAUUUGGACCCAGGUGGAAUAGUUUCUGUAGAUUGUGUCAACAGCUAGCUAUAAAGUAAAAUUGCAUGCAUGCAUGUCAACUAUAAAAGAUGAACUAGGUGUUUACAUUAAAGAUUAAAACGAAGAAAAGUGGGAAGCCUAGUCUUACAUCUUAACAACUUUCUGUAUAGUGAGUGACAUAAUUGUACACUCGUCUCUGGUGUAAUCUGCUACACUGUGUAUAUGAAUUGAGUAUUUCAUGUGUAACUGAAAACUCAUAGUUGUGUUUUGAUUGCUCACAUUUGUUAGAAUGAAACUGCUGAAUAAGAUUGUACAUGUAAUUCAAGAUUUUACAUCUAUUUGUUGUGCUAGUACAUUGUAAGAUUAUGAUGUAGUAAGUGAAGAUUUUAGUGCAUAAUAUUCUUUAGAACAGUGGAUGAUAGCAUUUUUUUCUCUGCCUGCCUUCAAGUCAGUUUUCAGUGCGUAAUACAUGUAUAUUUUAAUGAGGAUAGUAUUUAUAUUGAUGUUUUAAUGUAUUUUCACAUUGUUUAAAAUUUAUUUGGAAUAUAAUUAAAUAAAUUUCAUAAAAAACUCAAAUUUUUACUUCUAGAAAUCAAGUGAUUUGGAAAGUAUUUUAAAUACAUCUGUGCCCUAGCUUUGUAUAAUACAAAUGCCUUUUUACAGGUGAUAUAUAAUAAUCUACAUACAGUGUAUUUUUAUAUUAAGUUAAUUAAUUAUCAUUUUACAAAUCCCUGACAAUGCUUUUGUUGUUUCACCGAAGAAUUAUUUUUUUACAGACAAAUAUUCAGCAAAAAAGUUUUUUAUUACUUAUUUAAUUGAGAAUAUAACUAAAAAUUGUAUUUUGUCAAUCAUUUUACUCUGAAGGUAAAGUAUUGCACAGUGGAAACAUCAGUUGACCCCCUUGAAUUAUUAAUCAAUGACUAAUCAAAUUUUCUUUUCAUUCAAGUUUUAUUAGCCAAUAUGCUAUUACUGUUGACUUAUAAUUAUUUUUGUAAUAUUAAAUUUCUGCAAGAAUUGAGAGCUAGCAUACAUAUAACUACAUGUACAUAUUUAGUUCUUUUUUUAUGUUAGAAGUUGUAGUACAUAUUGUAUAUGUGUUUAUACAUGUAACUUACAAUUUUGUAAUACAUGUAGUUUAUACAUGUAUUUGUAUUACAAGUAUGCAAAGCAACCAUUUCUUUUAUCAAUGUAUAUAUAAAACUGCUUGCUAUGAUGCUUAUCUUAGCUAACCCUCAAUUUUUACCGAAAGCAUCAAAUCAUCAAUUAUAGAGAAAUAUUUUUUUUAACCAAGUGUAGGAUAUUAUGUCCAUGUCUUUAACAUAAACUCAGUAGAAAAUCGUCUGCAUCAUACAGUAGAAAUGGGGAGUAUAAAAGAACUAUUCUAAAGAGGAGCUAGAGAUCCUCUCUGCAAAAAAAAAAAAAAAAAAGGACCUGGAAAUCGAUUUUGCUAAAUCUAAAUGCAAAUUCACUGUUUUUUCCUCUAAUGUCCAAAAUAUGUUACGUAUUAAGGAUUUUUAAAAGAAAAAUUGCUUUGUGUUUUCCCGGGGUAAGGGACUUGAAAAACUCCGUAUUUCUAAAUUUACACAGGUAGGUUAAAAAGAGGUGAUGCAGGUUGCUUCUGAAUUAUAUUGUAUGCCUUGUAAAAGAUCAAUCCAAAAUAAAUAUAAAAAAAUAUAAAAGAGUUAUUUAUUGCAGUUAUCUGAUUAUGCAUAUUUUAAAAAUAAUCAGAUUUUUAAUUUUCUAUUUUGGAAUUUGUAAAAAUAAAAGACUCCAAAAUUAUGGUGCCUUGAAGAAAAAAAUAAAAUAAAGAAAUCGUAAUGUUUAAAUAUUGUGAAUAAGUAUCAUUGAAGAAUACUAAUAAUAAAUAAAUUUUUCUUGUCAUUGAAUAAAUAUUUGCUCCGUACGUACCAUUUGACAAAAAUUGGAAAAAGAAAAAAAAACAUUUUUUAAAGAACAUUUUUAGUUAUUUUAUAUAAUGUAAGAUGGCCCAUGAUAGAGGGACUGGGCUUGAUGGAACAUACCUGGAAGUUAUCCAAUAAAAAUUUCAACUUUUGAUAUUUUAAUUUUGAACCAUAAACGUUUUUAAAAGUCUGAUAAAAUCGUAUAAGAACCUGUGUUCUGAACCGACAUUUUUUUUUUCAUCAUUUGAUUAUCUUAUUAAUAAUUUAAAAAAUUUGAAAAAAAAGAAGAAAUAUGAAGAUCACAGAUCUAAUUAAGUUAUGUCAUGGACUAUGUAAAAAGUAUUUGAAUUCAAGCAUUAAAGGACGCAUCAAUUGGUGAUAUCCACCAAAAAUGGGUGUAUCAUAGUGAGGGUUAAAUUGCCUAUUAUUUGUGUUAAUCAUACAACGGGGUUUGCUCGCUACCGUUGACUUAUAAUUAACAUGAAGUGGCGCUGUAGAAGUCACAAUUGUUGUACUAUGCCACUUAUUUUGCAAUACUUUUUAAUUUUGUAUAUUUGCUUAUGCGUUAGCUAGAUGGAUAUUCAGCAAUUUUUGUGUAUUAAUGCCUUGCAGUAUGAUUGUGUAUGCCAUUGAAAAAUAAAUGCUUUUCAUAAUAUAA